RNAcentral lists this long non-coding RNA (207 nucleotides) under Elaeis guineensis (African oil palm). RNAcentral describes it as "long non-coding RNA (EGUI_LNC035379)". The record is from RNAcentral. Lineage: Eukaryota; Viridiplantae; Streptophyta; Magnoliopsida; Arecales; Arecaceae.
AGCUAUAAGACCAUAUCUAUUUAAAACUACGCCAUUGACGUGGUGCUUUUCUCAUGCCAUAAAAUAUAUGGUGCUAUUCUUGCUUGUGAAUUUUCUUGUAUCAAAUUAAAUUGGUUUCGGCUCUUCAUCAAUUUACCUUAUUAAUUACUUUUACCUUCUAUAGCCCCUGACGUCAUGAUGUACGACAUCAACAGACCCUAUUGAUGG